This 71-nucleotide transfer RNA is filed under the name Loxodonta africana (African savanna elephant). It matches the Rfam family "tRNA". From Rfam's summary of the family: Transfer RNA (tRNA) molecules are approximately 80 nucleotides in length. Their secondary structure includes four short double-helical elements and three loops (D, anti-codon, and T loops). The record is from Rfam by way of RNAcentral. Lineage: Eukaryota; Metazoa; Chordata; Mammalia; Proboscidea; Elephantidae.
GCAGUGGUGGUCCAGUGAUAGAAUUCUCACCUUCUAUGUGAGAGAUCUAGGUUCGAUUUCCAGCCAAUGCU